RNAcentral lists this ribosomal RNA (479 nucleotides) under Staphylococcus epidermidis. Its description in RNAcentral is "bacterial SSU rRNA". It matches the Rfam family "Bacterial small subunit ribosomal RNA", at positions 1 to 467 of the family's 1533-position model. Lineage: Bacteria; Bacillati; Bacillota; Bacilli; Caryophanales; Staphylococcaceae. The record is from RNAcentral.
UUUUAUGGAGAGUUUGAUCCUGGCUCAGGAUGAACGCUGGCGGCGUGCCUAAUACAUGCAAGUCGAGCGAACAGACGAGGAGCUUGCUCCUCUGACGUUAGCGGCGGACGGGUGAGUAACACGUGGAUAACCUACCUAUAAGACUGGGAUAACUUCGGGAAACCGGAGCUAAUACCGGAUAAUAUAUUGAACCGCAUGGUUCAAUAGUGAAAGACGGUUUUGCUGUCACUUAUAGAUGGAUCCGCGCCGCAUUAGCUAGUUGGUAAGGUAACGGCUUACCAAGGCAACGAUGCGUAGCCGACCUGAGAGGGUGAUCGGCCACACUGGAACUGAGACACGGUCCAGACUCCUACGGGAGGCAGCAGUAGGGAAUCUUCAGCAAUGGGCGAAAGACUGACGGAGCAAAGCAGCGUGAGUGAUGAAGGUAUUCGGAUCGUAACUCUCUGUUAUUAGGGAAGAACAAAUGUGUAAGUAACUAU